This 393-nucleotide ribosomal RNA is filed under the name Acanthodactylus taghitensis. RNAcentral describes it as "partial 12S ribosomal RNA". It matches the Rfam family "Bacterial small subunit ribosomal RNA", at positions 794 to 1384 of the family's 1533-position model. Lineage: Eukaryota; Metazoa; Chordata; Lepidosauria; Squamata; Lacertidae. The record is from RNAcentral.
GCUGAGCCCUAAACAUUGGUAGUGUAAACAUCUUACUAUAUUACCCGCCAGAGAACUACUAGUGAAAAACUUGAAACUCAAAGGACUUGGCGGUGUUCCACUUCGACCUAGAGGAGCCUGUCCUAUAAUCGAUAAUCCUCGUUAAACCCAACCCCAACUUGCACAUUCAGCCUAUAUACCGCCGUCGACAGUCUACCCCAUGAGGGUCCAAUAGUAGACACAAUAGUUACCACCACUAACACGUCAGGUCAAGGUGUAGCGGAUGUUGGGGAAAGUGAUUGGCUACAUUUUUUUUUAAAAAAUAAACGAAAUGCAACAUGAAAUCCUGCAUGAAGGUGAAUUUAGCAGUAAGAUAAAUGAGAGUGUUUAUCUUAACAUCGCUCUGGAACGCGC